UCACGUUAUGAUAUCAGGAAACCUUCUAUUUAAACCAGAGUCUUUAGAAGCAUCUUCUUCAUUUGUUGAGGUCUGUGAAGAAGAGCGAACAGAUUCAUUGAUUUUUGAUUUUUCCCAGAGAGAACUUGUUGUUAGUAUUCUUAAUUUGUCUGUGAACUCGAGAGAGAUGAUUAUUUUGGUUGCUUAGUAAUCAACCACUAAGGGGAAGCUGAGAUAUAUAAGUAGUUGUUUUUGUGGAUUGAUUGCUAAUUAGAUCGUUUAGGGUUUCGUUUUGGUGUAUUACUCNN
RNAcentral lists this long non-coding RNA (287 nucleotides) under Capsella grandiflora. Its description in RNAcentral is "long non-coding RNA (CGRA_LNC001319)". Lineage: Eukaryota; Viridiplantae; Streptophyta; Magnoliopsida; Brassicales; Brassicaceae. The record is from RNAcentral.